This 289-nucleotide unclassified non-coding RNA is filed under the name uncultured fungus. Its description in RNAcentral is "partial contains 5.8S rRNA, ITS2 and 28S rRNA". It matches the Rfam family "Eukaryotic large subunit ribosomal RNA", at positions 668 to 961 of the family's 3401-position model. Lineage: Eukaryota; Fungi. The record is from RNAcentral.
AAGGAGUCUAACAUAUCUGCGAGUAUUUGGGUGUCAAACCCGAGUGCGCAAUGAAAGUGAACGUAGGAGCGAUCCGCAAGGUGCAGCUUCGACCGAUCUGGAUCUUUAGUGACGGAUUUGAGUAAGAGCAUAUAUGUUGGGACCCGAAAGAUGGUGAACUAUGCCUGAAUAGGGCGAAGCCAGAGGAAACUCUGGUGGAGGCUCGUAGCGAUUCUGACGCGCAAAUCGAUCGUCAAAUUUGGGUAUAGGGGCGAAAGACUAAUCGAACCAUCUAGUAGCUGGUUCCUGC